This 208-nucleotide long non-coding RNA is filed under the name Elaeis guineensis (African oil palm). Its description in RNAcentral is "long non-coding RNA (EGUI_LNC051948)". The record is from RNAcentral. Lineage: Eukaryota; Viridiplantae; Streptophyta; Magnoliopsida; Arecales; Arecaceae.
CAUGGCCAUGGGCUUAAGGACUCGAUCUUUCGAUCAUCAUGGGACUACUCCUCUCAUCUACCGAGGUUGAUAAAUCUCAUCUUUGUACGACCUAGUACCUACAAUGAAUAUGCUACAGCCAAUAUACACCUCAGGAUUCUGAAUGGCUAGGAGAUCGAGUUAUGGUGUAGUCAAACUAUAAUACACUCAAAGUGAACUGUCGAUGCAC